UUGUCUUCUCAUGUUUUCAGGAUGUGCAGAAGAGGUGCAGUAUCUGGAGGAAAUACAGAGGAACACAACCCAGCGUGUGGUGGGAGGGGUGGCAGCUGUCCCCUACUCCUGGCCUUGGCAGGUCUCAUUGCGGGUUUUCUACAGUGACUGGUCGGCACACAUCUGUGGAGGAACUUUGAUUCACAGCCGCUGGGUUCUGACGGCUGCCCACUGCGUCCGAAGCGGAGUGUCUGUGGUUGCAGUUGUGGGAGAACACAAUAUU
Lepisosteus oculatus (spotted gar) is the source of this 262-nucleotide non-coding RNA. The record is from RefSeq and is a predicted model, not a curated record. NCBI's taxonomy places the organism in Eukaryota, Metazoa, Chordata, Actinopteri, Semionotiformes, Lepisosteidae.